AUCUGGCUGGCUCAGUCGGUAGAGCAUGUGACUCUUAAUCUCAGGGUUGUGAGUUCAAGCCCUAUAUUGGGUG
RNAcentral lists this transfer RNA (73 nucleotides) under Felis catus (domestic cat). It matches the Rfam family "tRNA". From Rfam's summary of the family: Transfer RNA (tRNA) molecules are approximately 80 nucleotides in length. Their secondary structure includes four short double-helical elements and three loops (D, anti-codon, and T loops). The record is from Rfam by way of RNAcentral. RNAcentral also lists the same sequence under 4 other names. Lineage: Eukaryota; Metazoa; Chordata; Mammalia; Carnivora; Felidae.